RNAcentral lists this ribosomal RNA (501 nucleotides) under uncultured bacterium. RNAcentral's name for it is "partial 16S ribosomal RNA". It matches the Rfam family "Bacterial small subunit ribosomal RNA", at positions 30 to 523 of the family's 1533-position model. The record is from RNAcentral.
AUUGAACGCUGGCGGCAGGCUUAACACAUGCAAGCCGAGCGGGGGAAGGUAGCUUGCUACCGGACCUAGCGGCGGACGGGUGAGUAAUGCUUAGGAAUCUGCCUAUUAGUGGGGGACAACAUCUCGAAAGGGAUGCUAAUACCGCAUACGUCCUACGGGAGAAAGCAGGGGAUCUUCGGACCUUGCGCUAAUAGAUGAGCCUAAGUCGGGUUAGCUAGUUGGUGGGGUAAAGGCCUACCAAGGCGACGAUCUGUAGCGGGUCUGAGAGGAUGAUCCGCCACACGGCGGCUGAGACACGGCCCAGAAUCCUACGGGAGGCAGCAGUGGGGAAGAUUGGACAAGGGGCGGAAGCCUGUUCCAGCCAUGCCGCGUGUGUGAAGAAGGCCUUAUGGUUGUAAAGCACUUUAAGCGAGGAGGCGGCUACUUUAGUUAAUACCUAGGGAUAGUGGACGUUACUCGCAGAAUAAGCACCGGCUAACUCUGUGCCAGCCGCCGCCGUAA